Molecule: ribosomal RNA, 205 nt
Filed under: uncultured bacterium
Lineage: Bacteria
Description: partial 16S ribosomal RNA
Rfam family: Bacterial small subunit ribosomal RNA
Source: RNAcentral
CACGCAGGCGGUUUGUUAAGUCAGAUGUGAAAUCCCCGGGCUCAACCUGGGAACUGCAUCUGAUACUGGCAAGCUUGAGUCUCGUAGAGGGGGUAGAAUUCCAGGUGUAGCGGUGAAAUGCGUAGAGAUCUGGAGGAAUACCGGUGGCGAAGGCGGCCCCCUGGACGAAGACUGACGCUCAGGUGCGAAAGCGUGGGAGCAAACA